AGAGAAUAGAUACCCUGGUAGUCCACGCUGUAAACGAUGGAUGCUAGACGUAGUGGGACUUGACUCCUACUGUGUCGAAGUUAACACGAUAAGCAUCCCGCCUGGGAAGUACGGUCGCAAGACUAAAACUCAAAGGAAUUGACGGGGGCCCGCACAAGCGGUGGAUCAUGUGGUUUAAUUCGAAGCAACGCGAAGAACCUUACCUGGGUUUGACAUCCCUUUGAAUACACCUAGAGAUAGGAGUAGGCUCGCAAGAGACAGAGGAGACAGGUGCUGCAUGGCUGUCGUCAGCUCGUGUUGUGAAAUGUUGGGUUUAAGUCCCGCAACGAGCGCAACCCUUGUCUUUGGUUGCCAUCAUUAAGUUGGGCACUCCAGAGAGACUGCCGUCGUCAAGACGGAGGAAGGUGGGGAUGACGUCAAGUCCUCAUGGCCUUUAUAUCCAGGGCGACACACGUGAUACAAUGGUUGGUACAGAGGGAAGCGAAGUGGUGACACGAAGCAAAUCCCAAAAAACC
Molecule: ribosomal RNA, 515 nt
Filed under: uncultured bacterium
Lineage: Bacteria
Description: bacterial SSU rRNA
Rfam family: Bacterial small subunit ribosomal RNA
Source: RNAcentral